This 780-nucleotide ribosomal RNA is filed under the name Triticum aestivum (bread wheat). RNAcentral describes it as "partial small subunit ribosomal RNA". Lineage: Eukaryota; Viridiplantae; Streptophyta; Magnoliopsida; Poales; Poaceae. The record is from RNAcentral.
AUGGACCUAAUACUUCCAUUUAAAGUUGGAGAUGCUAUAGAGACAAGAUCCUAUGACGCUGGUUAUAGGGGCGCAUGGUUCCGUGGCAAGCUCACCGACAUGCGUAUCAGGGAAGGUCACCUGGAGUGUCAGGUGGAGUAUAUAGACUAUCCAGAUGAAAAAAGGAGAUGGAGUAGACUAUACAAAGUUCCCCCAAAAUGUCGUAAUCAGAAAGCAGGUCAAAAUAGGGAGAUCAUGUUACGACCUGCUUUUCCUCAGUGGUGUUGGGAGAAUGAUAUUCUUGAGCAUUGGCCACAGACGGAUGUUCUAGCAGUUGUAAGCAGUCCUUGGAAAGUAGGUGACUUGAUUGACUGGUGGUACAAUGAUUGUUUCUGGACUGGCAAAAUUAUCGAGUUUCUGGGUGAAGACAAAGUUAAGAUAAUUUGUCCUGAGAUACCAAUAGGUGAAGGUGGAUGCUGGGCUGCCGAUACCAAGGACCUUAGGCCAGCGCUUGAUUGGUCCCUCUUAAAAGGUUGGAUCGCCCCUCUUUCACAGGUCUACAAAACGAGGCGGAUAAAUAGGUGCUGCUGGAGGGAGCUUCAUCGAUUCAAAAUUCCACUGUCAGGGUGCAUGAAGAAACUCCCACAUCGCCCCCUGGGAUCUCUGAAAGGGAAGUGGUGGAGGAUGAGAUUGAGGAGAAUGAGGAAGAUGUUCAUCUUUGAUCUCCACAUCCUGGGCAUGUCGCUAUUGAGAAGUUUGGCUGGCCGGUCUAGUGUCUUUUCCUGUAGUAUGUCAGUUUGA